UACCCUACGGGGCGCAGCAGUGGGGGAUAUUGCACAAUGGGGGGAACCCUGAUGCAGCGACGCCGCGUGGGUGAAGGAGCGUUUCGGCGCGUAAAGCCCUAUCGGCAGGGAAGAAGAUGACGGUACCUGACCAAGAAGCCCCGGCUAACUACGUGCCAGCAGCCGCGGUAAUACGGAGGAUGCGAGCGUUAUCCGGAUUUAUUGGGUUUAAAGGGUGCGUAGGCGGACAGUCAAGUCAGCGGUAAAAAUGCGGUGCUCAACGCCGUACAGCCGUUGAAACUGGCAGUCCUGAGUGGGCGAGAAGG
This 305-nucleotide ribosomal RNA is filed under the name uncultured bacterium. RNAcentral describes it as "bacterial SSU rRNA". It matches the Rfam family "Bacterial small subunit ribosomal RNA", at positions 335 to 658 of the family's 1533-position model. The record is from RNAcentral.